This 509-nucleotide ribosomal RNA is filed under the name Rossellomorea aquimaris. RNAcentral's name for it is "bacterial SSU rRNA". It matches the Rfam family "Bacterial small subunit ribosomal RNA", at positions 365 to 865 of the family's 1533-position model. The record is from RNAcentral. Lineage: Bacteria; Bacillati; Bacillota; Bacilli; Caryophanales; Bacillaceae.
UCCGCAAUGGACGAAAGUCUGACGGAGCAACGCCGCGUGAGUGAUGAAGGUUUUCGGAUCGUAAAGCUCUGUUGUUAGGGAAGAACAAGUGCCGUUCGAAUAGGGCGGCACCUUGACGGUACCUAACCAGAAAGCCACGGCUAACUACGUGCCAGCAGCCGCGGUAAUACGUAGGUGGCAAGCGUUGUCCGGAAUUAUUGGGCGUAAAGCGCGCGCAGGUGGUUCCUUAAGUCUGAUGUGAAAGCCCACGGCUCAACCGUGGAGGGUCAUUGGAAACUGGGGACUUGAGUGCAGAAGAGGAAAGUGGAAUUCCAAGUGUAGCGAUGAAAUGCGUAGAUAUUUGGAGGAACACCAGUGGCGAAGGCGACUUUCUGGUCUGUAACUGACACUGAGGCGCGAAAGCGUGGGGAGCAAACAGGAUUAGAUACCCUGGUAGUCCACGCUGUAAACGAUGAGUGCUAAGUGUUAGGGGGUUUCCGCCCCUUAGUGCUGCAGCUAACGCAUUAAGC